GACGAACCGUGCAAACGUUGUUCGGAAUCACUGGGCUUACAGAGUUCGUAGGCGGUUCGGUAAGUUAGGUGUGAAAUCCCUUGGCUCAACCAAGGAACUGCGCUUAAUACUGCCGAACUUGAGGGAGAUAGAGGAGAGCGGAACUGAUGGUGGAGCGGUGAAAUGCGUUGAUAUCAUCAGGAACACCGGUGGCGAAGGCGGCUCUCUGGGUCUCUCCUGACGCUGAGGAACGAAAGCUAGGGGAGCAAACGGG
This 253-nucleotide ribosomal RNA is filed under the name uncultured bacterium. Its description in RNAcentral is "partial 16S ribosomal RNA". It matches the Rfam family "Bacterial small subunit ribosomal RNA", at positions 524 to 776 of the family's 1533-position model. The record is from RNAcentral.